UCUAUAUAAAAAGGGAAGGGAGACGGAAGAAAAAAGAAAAGUUGAAGCAAAGCUUGCGAAUAAGACGUUGCAACAAGUUAGUUAGAUGAAGAGGUGGAAUUAAGAAUAUAAUGGUGUACUUGUAUUGUAUCUCCACCAGAUCGUCUCGACAUCAUUCUUAAAGACGCAAGGCAACAAUUAUAUAAACCAUGCAUGAAUGAAUGAAUACCCAAGCCAAACACGCUAUCUAGCUAGCUGCUACCAGAAAUUAAUUUCAAAGUAGAAAAAGAGCAAGUUUUGUCAAGGAUAAAAUGCAAGGUUGACCACGAACUUUAAAGAUUUUUGGGUAUUGAGCUCUUUUCUUUGUUGCUAAAUAUGCGUUGACUUGCUCACGUGACACACGUGGCAUAUCUGAUGUGGGUAUUUGUUACUGCUCAGAUUUCAUCUCCAGACCUCCAACUCAAAAUUUCAACCCAAUGACCACCCGAGCACCAUAUAUAGGUUAGCUGCUUUAUUUCCGCAAGAAUUAUGAUUUAUAACUGAACAAAGAAUUUUUCCCAAAUUAAAAUAAAACCCCUUUUCUUAGAUAUGCAGAUACCAUUAAUAGUGGAGCUAGCUCGGUUGGUCUUUGUUGUUUUACCUAUUAUUUCCUUACUUGUCGUUUUUUCCUAUGUUUAUUGCUGUGAAUUCAUAGGUUGUUUUGAUCCCUUUUCAGAUUUGCUUGCUUUGAAUCUAAUUCUUAGAUUUGUUUUUAAUCUAAGUUCAUUUAUGCUCGUUUUAUCUCCUACUGUUGUCGCAUAUCUGUUCAUGAGUGUUUAUAAACUAGGCUACUGCCGAUUUGUUUGGUUUAAUUGGCCAGAUUCUGGGGAGUAUAUGAUAUGAACUGCUAUUUCUUCCAUUCCCAUUCUGUUAAUUGGCCCACCCUUUUAGAUCUAAUUGAUGGUAAUUGGUGUGGGUGUGAGCAGCUGUUUUAUGUUGUUUAAAUCUGUGUUGAUCUCAUUAUCUUUGUCGGCGUUCAUAGUGGUUUGUUGAUGUUGUGACUGUGCCGGUGCUGGAGUUCGGUCGGAAUUAUGGUAGAUUUGUCGGAGUCUGGCUGGUGGAUUUCUACUGAUGGGUGACUGAUCUGCUGAUGGCUCAUGGGUCCAACGAAAAUUGAUUUGGGUCAAGGAGUCAGUGGAAGAAUUAGGGCCCACGCCUUAUUCCAAUUUUAAAAAUUCAAAUGCUGAUAUCUAGAUGAUUUGGUGGGCAUUGGGGCCCACGGGUUAUUGCUAGCUAAUUCAAAAUUCUAAGAAAUUAACCAUGUUAUAACUGUGUAUUAUGACCUUGCAAAUGAGUCUCACUUCCCAAUUUUCAUCAAAACAAUAUUCUGAAUACAAAGAAUUAAACUACUGAAAUAAAUAAAUAGGAAAAUAAAUAGGAAAAGCAAUGAGCACCAUACCAGCAUAAUUCUAGUUAAAAAAAAUUUUAUUUGGGGAUUUGUUUUGUCUUUUAAUUUGGGGGAAAUGAAUUCUUUUAAUUUGGGAGAAAUAAAUUUUUUUCUUUAUAAAUAUUAAUCUUUGUGAAAUAAUAAUAGCUAAGUUGAGUUGCUUGGGUGGUCAUUGGACUAAAGUUUUAAGUUGGUUGUUUUAAGUUACAUAUUUUUGGAAUAAAUUUCCAAAAUGGCCAUGUAAACUCGUCUCUGUAUAAAAUAAAAUAA
RNAcentral lists this long non-coding RNA (1675 nucleotides) under Panax ginseng (ginseng). RNAcentral describes it as "long non-coding RNA (PGIN_LNC014656)". The record is from RNAcentral. Lineage: Eukaryota; Viridiplantae; Streptophyta; Magnoliopsida; Apiales; Araliaceae.